Long non-coding RNA from Lontra canadensis (Northern American river otter), 287 nucleotides. RefSeq lists it as uncharacterized. The record is from RefSeq and is a predicted model, not a curated record. The transcript is spliced from 3 exons. Lineage: Eukaryota; Metazoa; Chordata; Mammalia; Carnivora; Mustelidae.
CCAGUGUUGGCAGUGGGCUGACAGGUCUGGCUGCAGGAGAUCCCGGGUACUUACUACUGUCCAUCAAAUACGGGAAAGGACCACUUCACAUGUCCAAAUGGUGCAGGAUGUUGUCAAAUUCCUCUGUGGCUGUAUGGCUUUUGUGUGGGAAGCUGUUUGACAGAAGGGAAUGGAGUCACACAGCAAAGUGUCUUUUGAGUAUAAGGAGAGGGUUCCUGACUCCUAAAACCCUUAGAAGUUCCUGUAAUAAAAGCAAUAAAGAGUGGCGCCUGAGUGGCUCAGUGGAU